GCCGAGGUGGUGGAACUGGUUAUACACGCGACGCUUAAAACGUCGUGGGCCUCACGGCCCAUGUGGGUUCAACUCCCACCCUCGGCACCA
RNAcentral lists this transfer RNA (90 nucleotides) under Minisyncoccota bacterium. Its description in RNAcentral is "tRNA-Leu". It matches the Rfam family "tRNA". From Rfam's summary of the family: Transfer RNA (tRNA) molecules are approximately 80 nucleotides in length. Their secondary structure includes four short double-helical elements and three loops (D, anti-codon, and T loops). The record is from RNAcentral. Lineage: Bacteria; Bacillati; Minisyncoccota.